Molecule: ribosomal RNA, 424 nt
Filed under: uncultured Lachnospiraceae bacterium
Lineage: Bacteria; Bacillati; Bacillota; Clostridia; Lachnospirales; Lachnospiraceae
Description: bacterial SSU rRNA
Rfam family: Bacterial small subunit ribosomal RNA
Source: RNAcentral
UGGGGAAUAUUGCACAAUGGGCGAAAGCCUGAUGCAGCGACGCCGCGUGAACGAAGAAGUAUUUCGGUAUGUAAAGUUCUAUCAGCAGGGAAGAAGAAAUGACGGUACCUGACUAAGAAGCUCCGGCUAAAUACGUGCCAGCAGCCGCGGUAAUACGUAUGGAGCAAGCGUUAUCCGGAUUUACUGGGUGUAAAGGGAGCGUAGGCGGUCUUAUAAGUCUGAUGUGAAAGCCCGGGGCUCAACCCCGGGACUGCAUUGGAAACUGCCCGUCUUGAGUGCCGGAGAGGUGAGCGGAAUUCCUAGUGUAGCGGUGAAAUGCGUAGAUAUUAGGAGGAACACCAGUGGCGAAGGCGGCUUACUGGACGGUAACUGACGUUGAGGCUCGAAAGCAUGGGUAGCAAACAGGAUUAGAUACCCUGGUAGU